This 1027-nucleotide long non-coding RNA is filed under the name Equus caballus (horse). RNAcentral describes it as "lncRNA (ENSECAG00000046462.1)". Lineage: Eukaryota; Metazoa; Chordata; Mammalia; Perissodactyla; Equidae. The record is from RNAcentral.
GGAAAAGAGGGAGGAGCCAUGGUUCCUCCCUGGGGUCAGCCCCGGGGACUAAGACAGACCCCCUCCCCAAGCAGUGCCCAUGUUAGGCAGUUACCAUCAGCUCCUCACGGCACCAGGACUGUGCUGACAGAGUUUUGCAUCACCUCCCCGGGAGAAGGUUUCUCUUAGUUAAAAGGGGUCAUUCCUUCAUUUGCAGUCAACCUGAAAUUUAUUUAUUUGGGGGAGACAUAGGAGCUAGACUACCAUUUAAGAAUACUAGGGUUUCUAGAAUAAAUUGUCGUCUGCCCUGUGCACCUCCCUUCCUCAUCCGGGGACUCAGACGGAAGAAAACACCAACCAGAAAACUAGACGCACAAGGGGAAGAAAUUCCUCCUCUGCAGCGUGGGGCCGUUUCUUUCUUCUCUCCUCACCUCUGCACUCAAAACUGAGAAAAAGCCCAGCCUCUCUGCGGAUCACUCGUCACCCGUCCCAGGGAGCCGGGACGAGUCGUUGGGCUCUCACUGUCAGAAGCUUUACAAACCAACACCUGUGUCCUAAGAGGCCUGAGAAAAAGGACAGAGCGGCAAAGAAGCUGCCACCUGAUUUGGGACGCCUGUUCUGGGAGCUGCUCUCGCUCGGACAGGCGGGGACCCAGCAGCCGCCUCUUCCAUUUGGAUUUGUCUUCUGUCCCAGUAACUAGCCUGUCGGCAGCUCACAAACAAAGGGAACUGAUAUUCAUUAAGUUCCUACUGUGUGCCAAGAACUACUCCCAGUUCUUCACAUACCUCAUCUUUAUAGACGAAAAUGAAGGGAUCAGGGAGGGCCCGGGGUCACGGAGCUCGUGGGCAGCACAGCUUGGUGGAACUCUCUAGGGUGGGAUGUGCAGUGUGGAAAAAGACCCAGCUCAGUACAGGCAGAGACCACUCAGUCGACACUCAUUGAUUGACCGACUGAGUCAAUAAAUGUCAAAUCAUAUCAUAAAGGACUUAUUUCCCUUCCACGCUGUGAAAGAUGCAGGCCUUUCCUCCACUGUAAUGGGGAGAAGGGC